CAAUAGCGUAUAUUAAAGUUGUUGCGGUUAAAAAGCUCGUAGUUGGAUUUCUGCCGAGGACGACUGGUCCGCCCUCUGGGUGAGCAUCUAGUUCGGCCUGGGCAUCUUCUUGGAGAACGUAGCUGCACUUGACUGUGUGGUGCGGUAUCCAGGACUUUUACCUUGAGGAAAUUAGAGUGUUUCAAGCAGGCACACGCCUUGAAUACAUUAGCAUGGAAUAAUAAGAUAGGACCUUGGUUCUAUUUUGUUGGUUUCUAGAGCUGAGGUAAUGAUUAAUAGGGAUAGUUGGGGGCAUUCGUAUUUAACUGUCAGAGGUGAAAUUCUUGGACCUUCGGAGACUAACAACUGCGAAAGCAUUUGUCCAAGGAUGUUCUCUUUAAUCAAGAACGAAAGUUAGGGGAGUCGAAGAUGAU
Molecule: ribosomal RNA, 413 nt
Filed under: uncultured eukaryote
Lineage: Eukaryota
Description: SSU rRNA
Rfam family: Eukaryotic small subunit ribosomal RNA
Source: RNAcentral